RNAcentral lists this non-coding RNA (182 nucleotides) under Candidimonas sp. Its description in RNAcentral is "6S RNA". It matches the Rfam family "6S / SsrS RNA". Rfam says of the family: E. coli 6S RNA was the first non coding RNA to be sequenced, but its function was unknown until recently. It consists of 184 nucleotides that fold into an extended hairpin structure with a large single-stranded internal bulge. The record is from RNAcentral. Lineage: Bacteria; Pseudomonadati; Pseudomonadota; Betaproteobacteria; Burkholderiales; Alcaligenaceae.
AAGUCCCUGCUGUGUUCGUGACGUGGCCUUAUAGUUCUUGAACCAAUGCCUAUGGCAAAAGGUUGCUGGAUUGACAAGUAGGCGUGAUCGUCUCUUUUGACGAACCCGAAGCUUGGCUGAUGGCGACCGCCUUGAACCCUCGGUUCCAGGAUGCCGGCCUAGACGGCAACGGUGGGGCAAUU